GUACGGGAGGCAGCAGUGAGGAAUAUUGGUCAAUGGGCGCAAGCCUGAACCAGCCAUCCCGCGUGCAGGAAGAAGGCGCUAUGCGUCGUAAACUGCUUUUCCAGGGGAAGAAAACCUGAUACGUGUAUCGGCUUGCCGGUACCCUGGGAAUAAGCAUCGGCUAACUCCGUGCCAGCAGCCGCGGUAAUACGGAGGAUGCGAGCGUUAUCCGGAUUUAUUGGGUUUAAAGGGUGCGUAGGCGGAUUAAUAAGUCAGUGGUGAAAACCUUCAGCUUAACUGGAGACUUGCCAUUGAUACUGUUAGUCUUGAGUACGGUCAAGGUAGGCGGAAUGUGUAAUGUAGCGGUGAAAUGCUUAGAUAUUACACAGAACACCGAUUGCGAAGGCAGCUUACUGGGCCAUUACUGACGCUGAUGCACGAAAGCGUGGGGAGCGAACAGGAUUAGAUACCCCUGUAGUCC
This 460-nucleotide ribosomal RNA is filed under the name uncultured bacterium. RNAcentral describes it as "bacterial SSU rRNA". It matches the Rfam family "Bacterial small subunit ribosomal RNA", at positions 339 to 796 of the family's 1533-position model. The record is from RNAcentral.